UGGGGAAUAUUGCACAAUGGGCGCAAGCCUGAUGCAGCCAUGCCGCGUGUGUGAAGAAGGCCUUCGGGUUGUAAAGCACUUUCAGCGGGGAGGAAGGCGAUAAGGUUAAUAACCUUAUCAAUUGACGUUACCGACAGAAGAAGCACCGGCUAACUCCGUGCCAGCAGCCGCGGUAAUACGGAGGGUGCAAGCGUUAAUCGGAAUUACUGGGCGUAAAGCGCACGCAGGCGGUUGAUUGAGUCAGAUGUGAAAUCCCCGGGCUUAACCCGGGAAUUGCAUCUGAUACUGGUCAGCUAGAGUCGUGUAGAGGGGGGUAGAAUUCCAUGUGUAGCGGUGAAAUGCGUAGAGAUGUGGAGGAAUACCGGUGGCGAAGGCGGCCCCCUGGACAAAGACUGACGCUCAGGUGCGAAAGCGUGGGGAGCAAACAGG
RNAcentral lists this ribosomal RNA (429 nucleotides) under Chloroflexota bacterium. RNAcentral describes it as "Chloroflexi bacterium partial 16S ribosomal RNA". It matches the Rfam family "Bacterial small subunit ribosomal RNA", at positions 355 to 776 of the family's 1533-position model. Lineage: Bacteria; Bacillati; Chloroflexota. The record is from RNAcentral.